UAACAUGCAUUCAAUUAGAGUUUAGCACAUGCAAUCAGUUAAUUAUAUUUAUCUUCAUUCUUAUAUUAAAUUAGUUUAGCACAUGCAUUCAAUUUUCAAGAUUAUUAUGAAGUUUAUGAAGGGGUAAAUAUGAUGGCUCAAGAAUUAAUGAGAGCUUUUUUAGAUGACAAUCACCUAUUUUGUUUUUUAUAUGAGGAUUUUAAGGACCUCUUUUUUUUGUGUAUUUUUUUCUUUUAAUUUUUCAAAUCUCAUUCGCUUUUUUGUUUUCUC
RNAcentral lists this long non-coding RNA (270 nucleotides) under Lathyrus oleraceus (garden pea). Its description in RNAcentral is "Pisum sativum (pea) long non-coding RNA (PSAT_LNC017200)". The record is from RNAcentral. Lineage: Eukaryota; Viridiplantae; Streptophyta; Magnoliopsida; Fabales; Fabaceae.